CCUACGGGAGGCAGCAGUGAGGAAUAUUGGGCAAUGCCCGAAAGGGUGACCCAGCAACGCCGCGUGGAGGAUGAAGUCCUUCUGGACGUAAACUCCUUUUAGAGGGGACGAAAAGCCCGAUUUGUCGGGAAUUGACGGUACCCUCAGAAAAAGCACCGGCUAACUACGUGCCAGCAGCCGCGGUAAUACGUAGGGUGCAAGCGUUGUCCGGAUUCACUGGGUGUAAAGGGUGCGCAGGCGGGCUCUUAAGUUAAAGGUGAAAUCUCUCGGCUUAACCGAGAAAUUGCCUUUGAUACUGAGAGCCUUGAGUACGGGAGAGGGUGAUGGAAUUCCUGGUGUAGCGGUGAAAUGCGUAGAUAUCAGGAAGACCACCGGUUGCGAAGGCGGUCACCUGGCCCGUUACUGACGCUCAGGGACGAAAGCGUGGGGAGCAAACAGGAUUAGAUACCCCGGUAGU
Molecule: ribosomal RNA, 457 nt
Filed under: uncultured Ignavibacteria bacterium
Lineage: Bacteria; Pseudomonadati; Ignavibacteriota; Ignavibacteria
Description: partial 16S ribosomal RNA
Rfam family: Bacterial small subunit ribosomal RNA
Source: RNAcentral